RNAcentral lists this ribosomal RNA (253 nucleotides) under uncultured bacterium. RNAcentral describes it as "partial 16S ribosomal RNA". It matches the Rfam family "Bacterial small subunit ribosomal RNA", at positions 524 to 776 of the family's 1533-position model. The record is from RNAcentral.
UACGUAGGGUGCGAGCGUUAAUCGGAAUUACUGGGCGUAAAGCGUGCGCAGGCGGCUUUGCAAGACAGAUGUGAAAUCCCCGGGCUCAACCUGGGAAUGGCGCUUGUGACUGCAGUGCUGGAGUGCGGCAGAGGGGGAUGGAAUUCCGCGUGUAGCAGUGAAAUGCGUAGAUAUGCGGAGGAACACCGAUGGCGAAGGCAAUCCCCUGGGCCUGCACUGACGCUCAUGCACGAAAGCGUGGGGAGCAAACAGG